GGAAAGGGGCGAAGGAAGCCCCUCCCGUUAGCAAAACGCCCUGGUUUCACUGUAAGGAUGUUAAUUAGCGGUAAUUAGCGCUAAUUAGGGCCGUACCUGGCGCUGCUGCGAGGGGGGGGCGGCGGAGGGGUCCCCCCCCCCCUCCGGGGUCAGGGCCUGGAGGCGGCGCUGGAGGCUGCGGCUGCGGGCGCUCAGCCGGGAGCGCUCGGCACUGGGCUCCACCAGGCCCUGGGGGGGCAGGGGGGGACCCCAAAAUCCCAUAAGGACCCUGGGGGCCUCCAGCACCCCAUAAUGACCCCAGGGUCCCCCAAUAUCCCAUAAUAUCCCUGGGGUCCCCAAUAUUCCACAGUGCCCCUGGGGUCCUCCCGAAUCCCAUAAUAUCCCUGGGGUCACCCCAAAAUUCACAGUGCCCUUGGGGUCCUCCCGCAUCCCAUAAUGCCCCCAGGGUCACCCCAAAAUCCCAUAAUGCCCCUGGGGUCCUCCACCAUCCCACAAUUCCUUUGGGGUCCUCCAGUAUCCCACAAUGCCCUGGGGUCACCCCAAAAUCCCACAAUGCCCCUGGGGUCCUCCACCAUCCCAUAAUGCCCCUGGGGUCCUCCAGCAUCCCACAAUUCCUUUGGGGUCCUCCCGCAUCCCACAAUCCCCCGGGGUCCCCCAGUAUCCCACAAUGCCCUGGGGCCCACCUGCAGGCAGAGGUAGACGUGGGUUCCGGGGCCGGCCGGGGCCCCCACCCAGCCGGGCCCCAGCUCUGGCUCCGCCCCCUGGGGGAGGAGCCUCAGAGGCCCCGCCUGCGCCAGGGCCUGGAGGGCGGGGCCGAGCUCCCGAAACGCCGCCCUCAUCUCCUCCGGGCACCGCACGGCCACUGCGCAAAGCAUGCUGGGAUAGCCCCGCCUCCAAGAUGGCCGCCCCACCAAUCACCUUCCUGCCCUCAGGAUAGCCCCGCCUCCAAGAUGGCCACCCCACCAAUCACCAUCAAGCCCCGCCUCCAAGAUGGCCGCCUCCACUGGGCGCCGCCAUCUUAG
RNAcentral lists this long non-coding RNA (1022 nucleotides) under Anas platyrhynchos platyrhynchos (common mallard). RNAcentral describes it as "lncRNA (ENSAPLG00000029626.1)". The record is from RNAcentral. Lineage: Eukaryota; Metazoa; Chordata; Aves; Anseriformes; Anatidae.